Molecule: ribosomal RNA, 870 nt
Filed under: uncultured bacterium
Lineage: Bacteria
Description: bacterial SSU rRNA
Rfam family: Bacterial small subunit ribosomal RNA
Source: RNAcentral
UGAAUGACUUGGAGUGCGGGAGAGGAAAGUGGAAUUCCUGGUGUAGCGGUGAAAUGCGUAGAUAUCAGGAGGAACACCGGUGGUGUAGACGGCUUUCUGGACCGUAACUGACGCUGAGACACGAAAGCGUGGGUAGCAAACAGGAUUAGAUACCCUGGUAGUCCACGCCCUAAACGAUGCAUAUUUGGUGUGGGCAGUUCAUUCUGUCCGUGCCGGAGCUAACGCGUUAAAUAUGCCGCCUGGGGAGUACAGUCGCAAGGCUGAAACUCAAAGGAAUUGACGGGGGCCCGCACAAGCGGUGGAGCAUGUGGUUCAAUUCGACGCAACGCGAAGAACCUUACCUGGGCUCGAACGGCUGGUCAACGGCGGUGGAAACAUCGCUACUCCGCAAGGGGGUCCAGUCGAGGUGCUGCAUGGCUGUCGUCAGCUCGUGUCGUGAGAUGUUGGGUUAAGUCCCGCAACGAGCGCAACCCUUGUCCUGUGUUGCCAUACCGCAAGGUGGAACUCGCAGGAGACCGCCAGGGAUAACCUGGAGGAAGGUGGGGAUGACGUCAAGUCCUCAUGGCCUUUAUGUCCAGGGCUACACACGUGCUACAAUGGACGGUACAAAGCGCAGCUAACCCGCGAGGGGGAGCCAAUCGCAAAAAACCGUUCUCAGUUCGGAUUGCAGGCUGCAACUCGCCUGCAUGAAGCUGGAAUCGCUAGUAAUGGCAGAUCAGCACGCUGCCGUGAAUACGUUCCCGGGCCUUGUACACACCGCCCGUCACAUCACGAAAGUGGAUUGUACUAGAAGUCUGCGCGCUGACCCGCAAGGGAGGCAGCGGCCCAAGGUAUGAUUCAUGAUUGGGGUGAAGUCGUAACAAGGUAACC